RNAcentral lists this ribosomal RNA (250 nucleotides) under uncultured bacterium. RNAcentral's name for it is "partial 16S ribosomal RNA". It matches the Rfam family "Bacterial small subunit ribosomal RNA", at positions 524 to 773 of the family's 1533-position model. The record is from RNAcentral.
UACGUAGGAUGCGAGCGUUGUCCGGAAUUAUUGGGCGUAAAGAGAACGUAGGCGGCUAUCUAAGUUCGAUCUUAAAGACCGGGGCUCAACCUCGGGAAUGGAUUGAAAACUGGGUGGCUAGAGGAUGUCAGAGGAAGGUGGAAUUCCCAGUGUAGCGGUGAAAUGCGUAGAUAUUGGGAGGAACACCUGUGGCGAAAGCGGCCUUCUGGGGCAUUCCUGACGCUGAGGUUCGAAAGCUCGGGGAGCAAAC